Molecule: long non-coding RNA, 357 nt
Filed under: Ursus maritimus (polar bear)
Lineage: Eukaryota; Metazoa; Chordata; Mammalia; Carnivora; Ursidae
Description: lncRNA (ENSUMAG00000023225.1)
Source: RNAcentral
AUGUCUGUGGGCCCUGCCUUCAGCCCUUCCAGGAAGACCAACAAGGGCUCUGUGUGCCCAGGAUGCACCGGCCCGUGGGGGAGAGCCUGCCCGGGCCCAGACUGGAAGAUGAGAUUGACUUCCUGGCCCAGGAGCUGGCCCAGCAGGAGCCUCGGCACUCCAUGCUCACGGCCCAGCCCCAGCCUGAAGGGGGACAGCGGCAGCUGGAGGCUGGUAAGGGUGUCCCCACCCCCCCCCCCGGGGGGGGGGGGAGGGGCUCCCCGGCUCCCCGGCUCCCCACCGCUUUUGACCCCAGGCUGGUCCUAGUGUUCUAACCUGCCUUCUCUCUGCAGCAGCCACCCUGGGGCUCUCACAGCG